RNAcentral lists this small RNA (503 nucleotides) under Arabidopsis thaliana (thale cress). RNAcentral describes it as "ATSL268810". The record is from RNAcentral. Lineage: Eukaryota; Viridiplantae; Streptophyta; Magnoliopsida; Brassicales; Brassicaceae.
AUUUGAUGUCAUGUGUAUGAGUGAGUAUGACAACUAGAACCAUAAUCGGACCUUAAAAUCCUAAGUAUUGAAUCUUUGUAAGAAGAUACAAAGACAAAGACUCAUACGGACUUCGACUACACUAUCAAUGCUUUGAGAAGCAAGAAGAAGCUUGGUUAAUGUUUUGGAGUCGAAAAUAACUUGAUGUGAUGUGUAUGAUUAAGUAUAAGAACUUAAACCUUAAAAGCUUAAGUAGUGUUUCCUUGAUAGAAGAUACAAAGGCAUAGACUCAUACGGAGUUUAGCUACACCAUCAAAGCUUUGAGAAGUAAGAAGAAGCUUGGUUACUGUUUAUGAGUCAAAUAUGACUAGAUGUCAUGUGUAUGAGUGAAUAUAACAACUAGAACCGCAAUUGGAUUUUAAGAGCCUAAGUAUUGUAUCCUUGUAAGAAGAUACAAAGACAAACACUCAUACGGACUUUGGCUACACCAUCAAAGCUUUGAGAAGGAAGACAAGCUUGGUUAG